AACGAACGCUGGCGGCGUGCUUAAGACAUGCAAGUCGAACGGUAAGGCACCUUCGGGUGUACACGAGUGGCGCACGGGUGAGUAACGCGUGGGUAAUCUACCAUCGGGUUUGGGACAACUCCGGGAAACUGGAGCUAAUACCGAAUAAGACCACGAGGUCCUCGGGCCUAGUGGAAAAAGGUGGCCUCUUCUUGAAAGCUAUCGCCUGUUGAUGAGCCCGCGUACCAUUAGCUUGUUGGUGAGGUAAAGGCUCACCAAGGCUUCGAUGGUUAGCUGGUCUGAGAGGAUGAUCAGCCACACUGGAGCUGAGACACGGUCCAG
Molecule: ribosomal RNA, 321 nt
Filed under: uncultured bacterium
Lineage: Bacteria
Description: bacterial SSU rRNA
Rfam family: Bacterial small subunit ribosomal RNA
Source: RNAcentral